UGUGGUUACAAUAGCAGAGAGGAUACACCUGUCCAUUCCGAACACAGAGUUAAGCUCUCUAGCGCUGAUGUACUUUGGUGGGAAACUGCCUGGGAGGAGGUCAGGCGUCGACGUAG
This 116-nucleotide ribosomal RNA is filed under the name Clostridioides difficile. The record is from RNAcentral. Lineage: Bacteria; Bacillati; Bacillota; Clostridia; Peptostreptococcales; Peptostreptococcaceae.